RNAcentral lists this long non-coding RNA (2079 nucleotides) under Sus scrofa (pig). RNAcentral's name for it is "lncRNA (ENSSSCG00055001534.1)". The record is from RNAcentral. Lineage: Eukaryota; Metazoa; Chordata; Mammalia; Artiodactyla; Suidae.
AGGGAGCUGCUGUCUGAGGAGGAAACUGCAUCUUCGCGGGCCAGCUACGAGAGGAUCUGGGGUCGCGCUGGGCGCCCGACGGACCCUCCCCAGGGACUCGCCUGCCCCACACCGCCCGGCCUUGCCCGGCGCUCCGCGUCAGGUUCCCCAGCCGCAGCCUUACCUACGGGCUCCAGAAUCCUCAGGGCUUCCAGAGGAUGCUCAGCCCACCGACGGGGACCUCGGGGCAGCAGUGAGGGGGGCACCCAGCCCCCCAUUCAGCUCCUGUCCUCUUGGGCCGGGGGCCUCCCCGGGGGGAAGAGCAUGGUGGUUUUCCCUUGGAGCCCCCUGGCUUGGUACGUCUGAGCAGAUGCCUGCCAUGAGGCUCUUCACUUGCUUCCUGCAGCUUCUGGCUGGGCUGGCACUGCCGGCUGUGCCCCCCCAGCAGUGGGCCUUGUCUGCUGGGAACAGCUCAUCGGAGGUGGAAGUGGUGCCCUUCCAGGAGGUGUGGGGCCGCAGCUACUGCCGGGCGCUGGAGAGGCUGGUGGACAUCGUGUCUGUGUACCCCAGUGAGGUGGAGCACAUGUUCAGCCCGUCCUGCGUCUCCCUGCUGCGCUGCACCGGCUGCUGUGGCGACGAGAACCUGCACUGUGUGCCCGUGGAGACGGUCAAUGUCACCAUGCAGCUCCUGAAGAUCCGCUCUGGGGACCGGCCCUCCUACGUGGAGCUGACAUUCUCUCAGCACGUGCGCUGCGAGUGCAGACCUCUGCGGGAGAAGAUGAAGCCAGAAAGGUGCGGUGAUACUGUUCCCCGGAGGUAACCAGCCCCUCGGAGGAGAGAGACGGAGACCCCACGCCCGGCUCGUGUAUUUAUUACCGUUACACUCUCAGUUACCUCCCUGCUGGCACCUGCCCUCUAUUUAUUAGCCAAGUGUAUCCCUGCUGAAUGACUCACUCCCUUCAAGAUGAGGGGCAGGAAGGGACAGGACCCUCAGGAAUUCAGUGCCUUAAACAGAACGUGAGAGAAAGAAAGAAGACAGAUCCACGCGUGCGUCAUCUGGGGAAGAAGCAAGACUUGUGGCUUUGUGAGGGGCGUGUCACACCCCAGAGGCCUGAGGGUCUCCAGGGUGCUGGAGAGGGAGGGACGGGGGGGACAUGCCACCUGUCCCCAGGGCCUUGGGCUCUGCCGGGACCAGCAGCCCUUGCCUGGGGAGCUCCCUGCCGGGAUGAGGGUGGAGGAGCCUUCUCUGGCCGCCGUGGCCCCUGCCGGGAGGGCGGGCAAGCAGCAGCCCCGCGCCCUGGAGACAGGAUGUUCAGCUCUGGAGACCAGUGGUUGCCUGGGGGCCUUUGCCACUCCUUGUCCCCUAGGUCUCGCCUCAUAUCUUACCACCGCUUGUGCUGGGACAUUGCUCUUUAUGCCAAGGCAUCCCCACCUGCCCCUCUCGGGGACGCAGGCAGAGAGGGCCCAGGCUGGUCAUGGAGCAAGCUGUCCCCGCGAGGCCGUCUGACCGCCAAGCCAGAUUCUCUUGAAUAAAGUACUCUAGUCUGGAAGCGGCUUUCCAGGGGAGUGAGUGUGACCACGAGAGCAGAGGGCAACAGCGGGAAUGGGAGCAGUACGGGACAAAAAGGAACCGUGGGCCGCAAGGCUGCCCAUGGCCCGGCUCCAGCCUGCCCCUGCCCUUCCCUGGCCUUCUUCUUCCAGCUGCUUUAGGCACCACCCUGAGGCCCAUGCCUCCCAGAAAGAGGGUUUCCUAAGAUGGAGCCUUGGCCCCAAACUUGGGGGCACCUGACCCCGGUCAACCCCAAACACUCUCAAAUUCAAGAACAUGGUCCCGGAGUUCCCGUUGUGGCACCGCGGAAACAAAUCCGACUAGGAACCAUGAGGUUGCGGGUUCGAUCCCUGGCCUUGCUCAGUGGGUUGCGGAUCCAGCGUUGCUGUGAGCUGUGGUGUAGGUCGCAGACGCAGCUCGGAUCCCAAGUUGCUGAGGCUGUGGUGUAGGCCAGCCCCUGCAGCUCUGCUUUGACCCCUAGCCUGGAAACCUCCCUAUGCUGUGGUAUGGCCCUAAAAAGCGAAAAAAAAAAAAAAAAAAAAAAAAAAAAA